GGCGGAGUUGCAGAAAAGGCGCCACUUCGAAGUUCGAACACUUUCAGCCAAAGCUCUUUGGUGAACGACAAUGAAGAAAUCCCUCCUGAAACGACGUUCAGAGGAAGAAAGACCCAAGACAGUUUGUGUAGGAAAGUCCUUCGACAGUUAUGAGGAAUUCCAGAGAGCAGUGAGGUUAUGGAGUGCAGAGGG
Trichomycterus rosablanca is the source of this 192-nucleotide long non-coding RNA. RefSeq lists it as uncharacterized. The transcript has 3 exons. The record is from RefSeq and is a predicted model, not a curated record. Lineage: Eukaryota; Metazoa; Chordata; Actinopteri; Siluriformes; Trichomycteridae.